Molecule: non-coding RNA, 192 nt
Filed under: Planctomycetaceae bacterium SCGC AG-212-F19
Lineage: Bacteria; Pseudomonadati; Planctomycetota; Planctomycetia; Planctomycetales; Planctomycetaceae
Description: 6S / SsrS RNA
Rfam family: 6S / SsrS RNA
About the family: E. coli 6S RNA was the first non coding RNA to be sequenced, but its function was unknown until recently. It consists of 184 nucleotides that fold into an extended hairpin structure with a large single-stranded internal bulge.
Source: Rfam by way of RNAcentral
GAACCUCUGCAGUGUUCGUGAAUAGACGUGUACUUUUGGCGAACCGAUACGCAAUCCGCAUGGGGCCUGUUUAUUUGCGUGUCUGGGGCUUGCAAGCCCACCGUUUGUAGUGGGAUCCAAAAUCCAGACACCGGGCUCCGUCCUUGAACUGCGGGUUCUCAAAAGCGUCUACACGGCACAGGCGGAGGUUUU